CGUGCCUAACACAUGCAAGUCGAACGAAGUUCUUGGGGACUUUGUGGCGGACGGGUGAGUAACGCGUGAGAAUCUACCUUCAGGGCGGGGACAACAGCUGGAAACGGCUGCUAAUACCCGAUAUGCCGAAAGGUGAAAAGUUAUUUCGCCUGGAGAGGAGCUCGCGUCCGAUUAGCUAGUUGGUGGGGUAAAAGCCUACCAAGGCAACGAUCGGUAGCUGGUGUGAGAGGAUGAGCAGCCACACUGGAACUGAGACACGGUCCAGACUCCUACGGGAGGCAGCAGUGGGGAAUUUUCCGCAAUGGGCGAAAGCCUGACGGAGCAAUGCCGCGUGGGGGAAGAAAGUUUUUGGAUUGUAAACCCCUUUUCUCAAGGAAGAACAAAAUGACGGUACUUGAGGAAUCAGCCUCGGCUAACUCCGUGCCAGCAGCCGCGUUAAUACGGAGGAGGCAAGCGUUAUCCGGAAUUAUUGGGCGUAAAGCGUUCGUAGGCGGCUGUUCA
RNAcentral lists this ribosomal RNA (501 nucleotides) under Phormidium sp. M511. RNAcentral's name for it is "bacterial SSU rRNA". It matches the Rfam family "Bacterial small subunit ribosomal RNA", at positions 43 to 585 of the family's 1533-position model. Lineage: Bacteria; Bacillati; Cyanobacteriota; Cyanophyceae; Oscillatoriales; Oscillatoriaceae. The record is from RNAcentral.